This 494-nucleotide ribosomal RNA is filed under the name uncultured bacterium. RNAcentral describes it as "partial 16S ribosomal RNA". It matches the Rfam family "Bacterial small subunit ribosomal RNA", at positions 28 to 507 of the family's 1533-position model. The record is from RNAcentral.
GACGAACGCUGGCGGCGCGCUUAACACAUGCAAGUCGAACGGAAAGGCCUGCUUUCCCUUGUGGAUUGCGGGUACUCGAGUGGCGAACGGGUGAGUAACACGUGAGUGAUCUGCCCCCAACUUGGGUAUAAGCCUGGGAAACUGGGUCUAAUUCCCGAUAGGACUGCAGGGUGGUGCCUGUGGUGGAAAACGAUUUUCUAGUGGUUGGGGAUGAGCUCGCGGCCUAUCAGCUUGUUGGUGGGGUAAUGGCCUACCAAGGCGGCGACGGGUAGCCGGCCUGAGAGGGUGGACGGCCACAAUGGGACUGAGAGACGGCCCAGACUCCUACGGGAGGCAGCAGUGGGGAAUAUUGCACAAUGGGCGGAAGCCUGAUGCAGCGACGCCGCGUGGGGGAUGACGGCCUUCGGGUUGUAAACUCCUUUCGACCGCGAGGAAGCCACCUGGUUGGAAGGGUGGUGACGGUAGUGGUAGAAGAAGCACCGGCUAACUACGUG